Molecule: RNase P RNA, 378 nt
Filed under: Spirochaetota bacterium
Lineage: Bacteria; Pseudomonadati; Spirochaetota
Description: Spirochaetes bacterium (sediment metagenome) RNase P RNA component class A
Rfam family: Bacterial RNase P class A
About the family: Ribonuclease P (RNase P) is a ubiquitous endoribonuclease, found in archaea, bacteria and eukarya as well as chloroplasts and mitochondria. Its best characterised activity is the generation of mature 5'-ends of tRNAs by cleaving the 5'-leader elements of precursor-tRNAs. Cellular RNase Ps are ribonucleoproteins.
Source: RNAcentral
CAGGCAGACCGGGCGGCCGCUCCGAUGACCCCCGACACAGUCGGGAAUCACCGGGGAGGAAAGUCCGAACUCCACCGGGCAGGAUGCCGGGUAACACCCGGGAGGGGUAACCCUACGGAAAGUGCAACAGAAACAUACCGCCCGCCUCUGGCGGGUAAGGGUGAAAUGGUGAGGUAAGAGCUCACCGGCGUCCGGGUGACCGGACGGCCGUGCAAACCCCAUCCGGAGCAAGACCGAAUAGAGGGACAAGGGCGCCCGGCCCGUCCCCGGGUUGGUCGCAUGACGCCGCUGGUAACAUCGGCGCUAGAUAGAUGGUCGCCGGUCCUUCCCAUCACCCGGGAAGGAUCACAGAACUCGGCUUACAGGUAGGCCUGGCCC